GCGCGAAACCUCUACAAUGCACGAAAGUGUGAUAAGGGAAUCCCAAGUGCUCAUGCUAUGCAUGGGCUUUUGCCAAGAGCAAAAACCUUGGCGAAUAAGUGGUGGGAAAGACUGGUGCCAGCCGCCGCGGUAACACCAGCGCCACGAGUGGGGAUCACUUUUAUUGGGCCUAAAGCGUCCGUAGCCUGUUCAGUAAAUCUUUUGUGAAAUCGUUGGGCUUAACCUAACGGCAUGCAGGAGAGACUGCUGAACUAGAGACCGGGAGGAGUUAGAAGUAUUCAGGGGGGAGCGGUAAAAUGCUAUAAUCCCCUGAGGACUACCUGUGGCGAAGGCGUCUAACUAGAACGGUUCUGACGGUGAGGGACGAAAGCCAGGGGAGCGAUCCGGAUUAGAUAUCGAGAUUUCCGUCUUUUGAUUUAGAUUCAUUUGAUCGUAUUAAUAUCUACUACGUGGAUCUGAAAUUAUCGGAAAUAAUGAACUCGACUAAUUACCCGAGUAGUCCUGGCCGUAAACGCUGCGAGCUAGGUGUUGCAUAUUCUUCAUGAAUAUGCAGUGUCGAAGCGAAGGUGUUAAGCUCGCCGCCUGGGAAGUAUGGUCGCAAGACUGAAACUUAAAGGAAUUGG
Molecule: ribosomal RNA, 623 nt
Filed under: uncultured euryarchaeote
Lineage: Archaea; Methanobacteriati; Methanobacteriota
Description: bacterial SSU rRNA
Rfam family: Archaeal small subunit ribosomal RNA
Source: RNAcentral